RNAcentral lists this long non-coding RNA (1143 nucleotides) under Phasianus colchicus (ring-necked pheasant). RNAcentral's name for it is "lncRNA (ENSPCLG00000016473.1)". The record is from RNAcentral. Lineage: Eukaryota; Metazoa; Chordata; Aves; Galliformes; Phasianidae.
GGGACAUGGGGACAGGGACACAGAUGAAGGAAGCCUUGGGGACAAGGAGACAGGAUAAGGAUGGAGGGCUUGGGGACAUGGGGACACAGGGAUGUGGGGAUAUGGGGACAUGGGAGGGCUUUGGGGACACGGGGACACAGGGAUGUGGGGUCACAGAUGUUGGGAGAGCUUCUAGGAUGAGGGAACAGGGACAUGGGAACGAGGACAGAGAGAUAGGGACACAGAUAUAGGGUUUAGGGACAUGGGGACACAAGGCUUGGGGAUGUGGGAACACAGGGACAUGGGGACACGGGGACAUGGGGAUAUGGGGUCAUGGGAAUAUGGGGACACGGGGAUAUGGAGAUAUGGGGCCAUAGGGCCGUGGGGACGUGGGGACACAGGAAUAUGGGGAUGUGAGGACAUGGGAACACAGGGACACAGCGACAUAGAGACACAGGGAUAUGGGGACACAGGGACAUGGGGACACACGGAUAUUGGGACGUGGGGACAUGGGGACACGGGGACAUGGGGACACGGGGACAUGGGGAUGUGAGGACACGGACACGGGGACACAGGGACAUGGGGACAUAGGGACACAGGGAUAUGGGGACAUGGGGACACGGGGACACAGGGACGCAGGGAUAUGGGGACAUAGGGACACAGGAAUAUGGGGACAUGGGGACACUGAGACACAGGGACACGGGGACACAGGGACGUGGGGAUGUGAGGACACGGGGACACGGGGACAGGGAUAUGGGGACACAGGGACAUGGGGACACAGGGACACGGGGACACGGAGACGCUGAGACACAGGGACAUGAAGACACAGGAACAUGGGGACACAGGGACAUGAGGACACAGGGACAUGAGGACACGAAGACACAGGGACAUGAGGACACGGGGACACAUGGCUGCCCUGACCAGGUCCUGCAGCCGCUCCUCCUUGGGGACGUCCCCCUGUCCCUUCAGCCAGCGGAUGUAGUCCUCCUCCUCGCAGGCCUGGGGGUGGGGGGGUCACAGCGUCACCCCCCGUGUCCCCAAAGUGUCCCCACCGUGUCCCCCCUCCCCCUUCCUCACCUUCUCCUCUGCCGUCCGAUGGCGGCGCCGCAGCAGUGACCCCCCCCCUUCCUCCUCCUCCUCCUCCUCCUCAUCGCUCUCAGCCAC